This 497-nucleotide ribosomal RNA is filed under the name uncultured bacterium. RNAcentral describes it as "partial 16S ribosomal RNA". It matches the Rfam family "Bacterial small subunit ribosomal RNA", at positions 28 to 507 of the family's 1533-position model. The record is from RNAcentral.
GAUGAACGCUGGCGGCGUGCCUAAUACAUGCAAGUCGAGCGAACAGACGAGGAGCUUGCUCCUCUGACGUUAGCGGCGGACGGGUGAGUAACACGUGGAUCACCUACCUCUAAGACUGGGAUAACUUCGGGAAACCGGAGCUAAUACCGGAUAAUAUAUUGAACCGCAUGGUUCAAUAGUGAAAGACGGUUUUGCUGUUACUUAUAGAUGGAUCCGCGCCGCAUUAGCUAGUUGGUAAGGUAACGGCUUACCAAGGCGACGAUGCGUAGCCGACCUGAGAGGGUGAUCGGCCACACUGGAACUGAGACACGGUCCAGACUCCUACGGGAGGCAGCAGUAGGGAAUCUUGCGCAAUGGGCGAAAGCCUGACGGAGCAACGCCGCGUGAGUGAUGAAGGUCUUCGGGUCUUAAAGCUCUGUUAUUAGGGAAGAACAAAUGUGUAAUUAACUAUGCACGUCUUGACGGUACCUAAUCAGAAAGCCACGGCUAACUACGUG